RNAcentral lists this ribosomal RNA (253 nucleotides) under uncultured bacterium. Its description in RNAcentral is "partial 16S ribosomal RNA". It matches the Rfam family "Bacterial small subunit ribosomal RNA", at positions 524 to 776 of the family's 1533-position model. The record is from RNAcentral.
UACGGGGGGGGCAAGCGUUGUUCGGAAUUACUGGGCGUAAAGGGCUCGUAGGCGGCCAACUAAGUCCGACGUGAAAUCCCAAGGCUUAACCUUGGAACUGCGUCGGAUACUGGAUGGCUUGAAUUCGGGAGAGGGAUGCAGAAUUCCAGGUGUAGCGGUGAAAUGCGUAGAUAUCUGGAGGAAUACCGGUGGCGAAGGCGGCAACCUGGACCGACAUUGACGCUGAGGAGCGAAAGCUAGGGGAGCAAACGGG